Molecule: ribosomal RNA, 465 nt
Filed under: uncultured bacterium
Lineage: Bacteria
Description: partial 16S ribosomal RNA
Rfam family: Bacterial small subunit ribosomal RNA
Source: RNAcentral
GACGAACGCUGGCGGCGUGCUUAACACAUGCAAGUCGAACGGUGAACUCCGCCUGCGGGGGGAUCAGUGGCGGACGGGCGGGUAACACGCGGGCAAGUAGCCUUCACCUCUGGGAUAAAUACAAGCAAUUGGGGCUAAUUCCGGCUAUGACGGCUCACCGCAUGGAUUGGUGGUGGUGGGAUUUGUCGGCUGGGGAUGGGCGCGCGGCCUAUCAGCUUGUUGGUGGGGUAGUGGCUUACCAAGGAGGCGACGGGUAGCCGGCCUGAGAGGGUGACCGGCCACAUUGGGACUGAGAUACGGCCCAGACUCCUACGGGAGGCAGCAGUGGGGAAUAUUGCGCAAUGGGCGGAAGCCUGACGCAGCGACGCCGCGUGGGGGAUGACGGCCUUCGGGUUGUAAACCGCUUUCGGCAGGGACGAAGCGAGAGUGACGGUACCUGGAGAAGAAGCACCGGCCAACUACGUG